UACAGAGGGGGCAAGCGUUGUUCGGAAUUACUGGGCGUAAAGGGCUCGUAGGUGGCCAACUAAGUCGGACGUGAAAUCCCUCAGCUUAACUGGGGAACUGCGUCCGAUACUGGAUGGCUUGAGUUUGGGAGAGGGAUGCGGAAUUCCAGGUGUAGCGGUGAAAUGCGUAGAUAUCUGGGGGAACACCGGUGGCGAAGGCGGCAUCCUGGACCAACACUGACACUGAGGAGCGAAAGCCAGGGGAGCAAACGGG
This 253-nucleotide ribosomal RNA is filed under the name uncultured bacterium. RNAcentral's name for it is "partial 16S ribosomal RNA". It matches the Rfam family "Bacterial small subunit ribosomal RNA", at positions 524 to 776 of the family's 1533-position model. The record is from RNAcentral.